Acanthosepion pharaonis is the source of this 113-nucleotide non-coding RNA. NCBI's taxonomy places the organism in Eukaryota, Metazoa, Mollusca, Cephalopoda, Sepiida, Sepiidae. The record is from the annotation of a GenBank genome assembly.
UACGGCCGUAGCGCGUUGAAAUAACGGUUCUCGUAUGAUCAGCGAAGUUAAGCAACGUCGAGCUUGGUCAGUAACUGAAUGGUUGACAGCUUGAGAAUACCAGGUGCUGUAAG